GACGAACGCUGGCGGCGUGCCUAAUACAUGCAAGUAGAACGCUGGAGGAGGAGCUUGCUUCUCUGGAUGAGUUGCGAACGGGUGAGUAACGCGUAGGUAACCUGCCUGGUAGCGGGGGAUAACUAUUGGAAACGAUAGCUAAUACCGCAUAAUAGCAGUUGUUGCAUGACAACUGUUUGAAAGGUGCAAAUGCAUCACUACCAGAUGGACCUGCGUUGUAUUAGCUAGUUGGUGGGGUAAAGGCUCACCAAGGCGACGAUACAUAGCCGACCUGAGAGGGUGAUCGGCCACACUGGGACUGAGACACGGCCCAGACUCCUACGGGAGGCAGCAGUAGGGAAUCUUCGGCAAUGGACGGAAGUCUGACCGAGCAACGCCGCGUGAGUGAAGAAGGUUUUCGGAUCGUAAAGCUCUGUUGUAAGAGAAGAACGAGUGUGAGAGUGGAAAGUUCACACUGUGACGGUAUCUUACCAGAAAGGGACGGCUAACUACGUG
This 495-nucleotide ribosomal RNA is filed under the name uncultured bacterium. Its description in RNAcentral is "partial 16S ribosomal RNA". It matches the Rfam family "Bacterial small subunit ribosomal RNA", at positions 28 to 507 of the family's 1533-position model. The record is from RNAcentral.